This 755-nucleotide unclassified non-coding RNA is filed under the name Saccharomyces cerevisiae (brewer's yeast). RNAcentral describes it as "sequence contains 18S rRNA gene, ITS1, 5.8S rRNA gene, ITS2, 28S rRNA gene". The stretch from base 373 to 526 matches the Rfam family "5.8S ribosomal RNA". Lineage: Eukaryota; Fungi; Ascomycota; Saccharomycetes; Saccharomycetales; Saccharomycetaceae. The record is from RNAcentral.
GAUCAUUAAAGAAAUUUAAUAAUUUUGAAAAUGGAUUUUUUUGUUUUGGCAAGAGCAUCCAGCAGCUUUUACUGGGCAAGAAGACAAGAGAUGGAGAGUCCAGCCGGGCCUGCGCUUAAGUGCGCGGUCUUGCUAGGCUUGUAAGUUUCUUUCUUGCUAUUCCAAACGGUGAGAGAUUUCUGUGCUUUUGUUAUAGGACAAUUAAAACCGUUUCAAUACAACACACUGUGGAGUUUUCAUAUCUUUGCAACUUUUUCUUUGGGCAUUCGAGCAAUCGGGGCCCAGAGGUAACAAACACAAACAAUUUUAUCUAUUCAUUAAAUUUUUGUCAAAAACAAGAAUUUUCGUAACUGGAAAUUUUAAAAUAUUAAAAACUUUCAACAACGGAUCUCUUGGUUCUCGCAUCGAUGAAGAACGCAGCGAAAUGCGAUACGUAAUGUGAAUUGCAGAAUUCCGUGAAUCAUCGAAUCUUUGAACGCACAUUGCGCCCCUUGGUAUUCCAGGGGGCAUGCCUGUUUGAGCGUCAUUUCCUUCUCAAACAUUCUGUUUGGUAGUGAGUGAUACUCUUUGGAGUUAACUUGAAAUUGCUGGCCUUUUCAUUGGAUGUUUUUUUUCCAAAGAGAGGUUUCUCUGCGUGCUUGAGGUAUAAUGCAAGUACGGUCGUUUUAGGUUUUACCAACUGCGGCUAAUCUUUUUUUAUACUGAGCGUAUUGGAACGUUAUCGAUAAGAAGAGAGCGUCUAGGCGAACAAUGUC